Molecule: long non-coding RNA, 1007 nt
Filed under: Piliocolobus tephrosceles (Ugandan red Colobus)
Lineage: Eukaryota; Metazoa; Chordata; Mammalia; Primates; Cercopithecidae
Description: lncRNA (ENSPTEG00000013791.1)
Source: RNAcentral
GUUUCUACUUCAAGCGUGAUCCCCUUGCUUGUGGGAUGAGCUCCAGCAUGGGGUGAGGUACAGAAGAGAGACUCGAAGAGCCUGCCUUGGGACUUAAGCGCCAAACCUGCACCCUAGCAAGUGUCUUACUCCACAUCCGUAAUGGAAGGAAAUGGAGGGCAAACAUUCCUCUGAACCGACAUCUAACUAGAAUCAGCAGCCAGUGUCUGGGUUGAAAGUCUCUCUGAAGGAACCAAGAAUCUCUAAAGUCCACUCCAGCCUGGGUGUGAUGGCUCACGCCUGUAAUCCCAGCACUUUAGGAGGCCGAAGCAGGUGGAUCACCUGAGGUCAGAAGUUCAAAACCAGCCUGGCCAACAUGGUGAAACCCCGUCUCUACUAAAAAUACAAAACUUAGCCAGAUACAGUCAUGCGCCUAUAAUCCCAGCUACUCAGGAGACUGAGGCAAGGAGAAUCCUUGAAUCCGGGAGGCGGAGGUUGCAGUGAGCUAAGAUCGGGUGACUGCACUCUAGCCUGGGCGACAGGGCAAGACUGUCAAAAAGUCUACUCCAGAGCUCCUGCUUGAAUUUUUGGUUUAAAAAUCAUACUAAUCAUACUCUUUAUAUAAGAUGUCUGGAAUUUAAAAUACUCUAGAGCUUCUCUCAACCAAAAAAAAAAAAAAAACGUGGAGUCGUGGUGUGGAUGAAACAAGAAUGGUAAAAUGCACAUCCUACUCCAGAGGCACAAGAGGAGGACAUCCCAUGCUGGCUACUCCUGCCCAGCGUGGUGGGGGAGCAGAAGCUCCAGAGCCCAGACUUGCAGGCUCACGGUGCAGGGUGAACCUGGCCACAGCUCACCUCUGGAACAGCCGCAGUGUCUGCCCUUAGAGAAGAACCCUGAAAUCAGACCAGUUUUUGCGGCCUCCCCCUUUCCUCUCUGUUACAGUGCCCUUUCCAGGCCUUAAGAGAAGUAAAACUUAGCCACAGCGUCAGGAGGUGGACGUGGACCCCCGAAUGUGAGUGGCACGGUUC